RNAcentral lists this ribosomal RNA (499 nucleotides) under Almidae sp. Ke. Its description in RNAcentral is "partial 16S ribosomal RNA". It matches the Rfam family "Bacterial large subunit ribosomal RNA", at positions 1808 to 2608 of the family's 2925-position model. The record is from RNAcentral. Lineage: Eukaryota; Metazoa; Annelida; Clitellata; Crassiclitellata; Almidae.
CAAAAACAUAGCCUCUUGUACCGUUAUAAGAGGUACCUCCUGCCCAGUGACUAAGUUCAACGGCCGCGGUAUCCUAACCGUGCAAAGGUAGCAUAAUCACUUGCCUAUUAAUUGUAGGCUAGAAUGAACGGAUAAACGAAAUAUUGACUGUCUCGAUUAGACCCAUAAAAACUAAAAUCUAACUGAAGAUUGUUAGAUAAACUUGAAGGACAAGAAGACCCUAUAGAGCUUAAUUUAAAUAUAAAGCAACAUUUAUAGUAAAAUUCGGUUGGGGCGACCAAGGGAAUAAACACCCUUAAUAUAUAGACACAUAAGUCCAUAAAUUGACCCUUAAACAAGAUCAAAAGAACAAGCUACCUUAGGGAUAACAGGCUAAUCUCUCUAAAGAGUCCUUAUCUAUAGUGAGGGUUGGCACCUCGAUGUUGGCUUAGGGUAUCUUUAAGGCGCAAAAGUCAUAAAAAGAUGGUUUGUUCAACCAAUAACACCCUACGUGAUCUGA